CCCGGGCUCUGCCCACUGAGCCACGCUACUUAAUAAUAACGAGAGAAAGAGACUACAAUGCCCCCGCUUUCUCAGCCACAGAAGCGUCUGAGCGUGGACCCAGUUAGAGACUCACCGGGAUCUGCCAGCGGCAAGAACGAUUUCGGCCAAAGAAAAAUAUGCAAAAAACAAACCUCACAGUCUACUUGAGAUGUGCCCAUUUUAAAAAGAGAGAACGCCGUUAUGGAAUUAAGAAACGUUCUGCCGACAACCUGCAGUUAUCUGGAUGCAGCGGAGGCGUUUUUCAGACAAAACAUUUUUGUAUAUGCGCAUGGCAUCAGAUGUGGUGUGAGAACCACGGUGGGUUUGCAUGCAGGCAGGAUUCUUUAAGUACAUGACUGCGGUAAGGCAGA
This is a long non-coding RNA of Tachyglossus aculeatus (Australian echidna), 392 nucleotides long. RefSeq lists it as uncharacterized. The record is from RefSeq and is a predicted model, not a curated record. The transcript has 3 exons. NCBI's taxonomy places the organism in Eukaryota, Metazoa, Chordata, Mammalia, Monotremata, Tachyglossidae.